GCAAACUUGGUCAUUUAGAGGAAGUAAAAGUCGUAACAAGGUUUCCGUAGGUGAACCUGCGGAAGGAUCAUUAACAAAUCUACAACAACACCAUGUGUAAACGUGUAUGUGUUCCCUUGGGAUUGCUUGGGAGGUGGUGUGAGUGGAGUGGGGGUAUAUAUGGUAUGGUAUAUAUAUGCGCACGUACGCACACACUCAACCAUUAUUAACCAGCUUCCCAGGGGAACAUCAUCCUUGGGUUAACAAACUAUGAUUGACAGCCUGAGAUGAUAUAUUGCUUAAAGUAAACAACUUUUAACAAUGGAUCUCUUGGCUCUUGCAUCGAUGAAGAACGCAGC
This 338-nucleotide unclassified non-coding RNA is filed under the name uncultured fungus. RNAcentral's name for it is "partial contains small subunit ribosomal RNA, internal transcribed spacer 1, and 5.8S ribosomal RNA". The stretch from base 1 to 73 matches the Rfam family "Eukaryotic small subunit ribosomal RNA", at positions 1759 to 1831 of the family's 1831-position model. Lineage: Eukaryota; Fungi. The record is from RNAcentral.